This 775-nucleotide non-coding RNA is filed under the name Doleschallia melana. The record is from RNAcentral. Lineage: Eukaryota; Metazoa; Arthropoda; Insecta; Lepidoptera; Nymphalidae.
AUAAAAUAAUUAUGUUUUAGAAAUUUUAUUAAAUAUUUAUUUUACAUAUAAAUUUUAGUGUUUAAUUUUAAUUAUUUUAAUAAUAAUUAAUUAAAAAUAAAUAGUAAUUAAUAUUAAAUAUUUAAGAAAUUAAGAUUUAGUAAUAUAAAAAUUAAUAACUAAUUUUGUGCCAGCAGUUGCGGUUAAACAAAGAUUAAAUUAAAAUAUUUCAGUUUAUAAUAAAUAAUAAAAAAUUAAAUUAAAUAUUAAAUUAUUAAGUGAAAUUUUAAUUUAGUUAAAUUUUAUAUUUAAAUUAUGAUUUAAUAACUUUUAAUAUAAACUAGGAUUAGAUACCCUAUUAUUAAAAAUUUAAUUUAUAAUACUAAAAUAGUAAAUAAUAAUUUAUUGAAACUUAAAUAAUAUGGCGGUAUUUUAGUUCAUUUAGAGGAAUCUGUCUAAUAAUUGAUAAUCCACGAAUAAAUUUACUUAAUUUAGAAUUUUGUAUAUCAUUGUUAAAAAAAUAUUUUUUAAUAAAAAUAAUAUUUAAAUUUUUAUAAUUUAAAUUAAUUCAGAUCAAGAUGCAGAAUAUAAUUAAGAAUAUGAUGGAUUACAUUAAAUAUAUUUAAAUGGAUAAUUUUAUUGUAAAAUAGAUUUGAAGGUGGAUUUAAAUGUAAUUUUAAUUAGUUUAUUAAAAUGAUUAAAAAUUGAAAUAUGUACAUAUUGCCCGUCACUUUCAUUUAAAAGUUGAAAUAAGUCGUAACAAAGUAGAGGUACUGGAAAGUGUUUCUAGAAAGAU